GUUCAACCUGCUGUGAUUGACAGGAGGGGUGGUGAUCUCAGAGCCACACAUUUCCAGGGCCAGGCUGGAUGCCCCGUAUAGAAGCCCAAGCCCUCCCCUGACCUGCUUCCUUCCCCAGGAGGUUUUCUCUCUCUUUCCUUUCUUCCUAAAGAAAGAAAAUAGCAACAGGAUCUCUCAGACUGACUUUAUGCUUUUUAUCUCCCUGCCUCAGUGCUAGGAUUAUGGGCACGAAACAACACAUCUGACCCCAAAGAGACCUUCAUGAAUUGUUGGGAUUGGGGGUUGGUUCCUCAGCCACCUCUUUGUACCCACUUCCUUCUUCCCAAGCAACCAGAACUGGAGGAAGAGUGUCCUUGUCUAGACCUGCUCUCAUGAUCUCUCUCUCAGGGUCCCAGAGGCUGUGACACUGUGGAAAGAAAUCCAAGCUGCCCAGCCGUUGAGCCUCCGUGUCCCAUAGUCUCAGUGUGCCCAUCUGUAACCUGGGCACAAGAAGAGUCCUGGGUCUUUGAACUUCCCAGCAAGAAACAGAGCCCUCUAGUCGGUGAUCAUGUUAGCUGGCAUUGCAGCUCUCUUCUGUGGAGAGAGAAGAAUGGGACCCCAGCACCCUGGACUCACGGUUUUUCCUAAGGAGCCCAAGGCAGCAGACUCCCACUCCUGAAAACCAUCUUCCCGAGUACAGGAAACAAAGCAAUUAGCAGCCUCUUUGUUCGGGUGUUAAUUAAUUUGUGUUUUCGGAGUGCACCUUCUUCCAGGUACAGCCCAUCAUCUCUGGGGUGCUGGCAGGGGAAGGCAAUUAGUUCCUUGUUACUGUGCAACUAAUUAUGGCCUGGAAACUGCUUGAGGAGGCUGAGAAGGAUUCCCCUACAGCUUCAGCUCAAGGGAGAGACCUCAUUCUGGAGCAGGCACCGAGGUGAGCUAGGUCUGGACCCCGGAGAAAAGGCUGUGGAGUCCAGGUGAGGAGAGUUCAGAAAGGAAGGUCUGGGUGCCCAUCUCUCCCACUCAGGAACUUUCAAGGGCUCCCUGGUUCCUACCAAGUCAAGAUCAAGCAUCAUACUUGAUGUUUGAAACUCCCUACUACUUGCUUAGAUACAACCUCUGAGCAUCAUUUCCCAUCAUAGCUACUCACGCUCUAUGUGUUCCUGGAAAACUCAAGUGCUACCUGGAUGGACUGGUAACCUUUGUCACCCAGUUCCCAACAUCUUUAUGAUCUAUCUGGGUCUGCUAAAAAAACUCUUAGUCUUUUAGUUGAGUGACUGCCCCACAGCCUUUAUUGAAGGCAAGAGGGUUCGGGACUUCAUUACUUUAGCUCCCACAGCAUCAGCCUUGACUCCAUACCCCCACGUAAAAAGGACCACAUGUGCCCAGCUUAGAUACGCUGGUCUUCUGUGUCCCUCCCAUGCUCGGAGUCCUGGUCCUCAGUGUUUAGCUCAUAGAAACAGCCUCACUUGACCUGGGUCAGGGGCUUACCUGGCUGUAUGCUAGUCUCCAAAUGGGAAGGUGGAGGAGGAGGUCCUUAACUUCACCUGCCACUGUGGGUCUCAGGACCCUGGACAUUCAGCCUCAGAGGAACCAAGGCAAUAGUUCAGAGCCAGGGCACUACUACCCCCUGAGAGGGGGGAGGUUCUAGACCAUCACCAAGACUUGGGGGCAUCCCUGACAUUGAGGCAGAGGUAAGAGGCUCACUCUCUGUCCUUGUCACAUAGGAAGGUACCUGGUGUACGUGUCUGGGGCUGGAACCUAACUCUGAGUUGCUUAACGCUCCGUUAUUUUCAGCAGCCUUCAGGAAGCCCGGGGGAGACUGGCCUUUGUCUCAGGAACAGUUUACCAGCCUAGAAAUACAGUGUCAUGGCAACCCUGCUCCUAGUGCCUCGGUCCCUAAAGGAAAUGCAUCCGUCUCACCGUCACUGUUUCUAGGUGCAGUGUUCACAGGCCGUGGGAGUGGUUCCGGCUCACUCACUGGCUAGUCUCCAUCUUAUGCCAAGGCUUGAACUGACCAGAGCUUCACAUCUGCUUGGGGCGGUUCGUGUUUGCUGUGGAAAGUGGUUCCUAACAGAAGCUAAUGUCCCAGAACGGUGGCGCUGCCUUUGGGAUCACAGACCCAUUACCUCAUGGCUAAUUGGCUGGUGGCUACGGAAGCCUGAUUGUGGAUCUGAAGUGACGGCUUUUGGAGGACCGGCAGCUUCACUGUUCAUCUAUCCACUCUCAACCUCCAGUUGUCUAUCACACAUCAGUUGUCCGCAGCCAGUGAGAGCUGGGAGAGUCUCUCUCACUUGCUUUUCAAAACUCAGAAGCUUGGAGCUCCUCCCACCCAAUCUCCGGGCCCAGUCAACUGAUCAGCAUACAGCACACACUUCUACUGCGAAAUUACUUAUUGCUCAUCUGAAAUUAAGUGAGCAUCUUCAAACACGGCCAACCUGGAAAGGGACCUGCGUGGAUGAACAUGCUGGGGCCAUGUACUCUGUCCCCAAAUGUGGCCAGAAUGGGGGUAGGAGAUGUAAAAUUGCACACAAGGUCUCUUGAUGGAUACCCACCGGUGAGCAUGCAUCUUGAUCUAGCCUUCCCAGGUUCAAAUCCUAGCUUUCCUAUGCUGAACAGCCUGGGGGUGAGUCACUUGAUGGCCUCAGUCUUCCCAUCUGUAAAAUGAGGUUGAUAUUAGAGUUUUGCUUACAGGCUUGCUAUAAAAAAUUAAACCAGCUCACGCUGUGGGCUUUGCAGAUAGGAAGUCUAAUAUAAAUAUUAACCAUAGCUCUCUCUGAUUAGUCACACAAUUAAUAUUUGUUGAACAAAGCAUUGAAUUUCUAGACCCUAACCACCCCACCCCACCCCAUUCCCACUGUAAGCAUUUAUCUGUCGCCCAACAUUUAUUCAGCAAAUAUUUAUUGAGACACUACAGUGAGCCAGGUGCUGUGAUUGACACUACAGGCAAAGAGGAACGUUUCAUCAAUCAAUUAAUGGAUUCCACGAAUCUUAGCUGAGCUCAGCUUUGGUGCCAGCGCUGACUAGAAUCUAGGGUCCACAGGGGCUACACACUCACCUUGGGAUGGGAUCUCAAGGUAUGUGGAGAAGACAAUACUUAGCAAGAGUUUGACACUGUAGGCUGUCUGCUGAAAUAGGGGACCAACAGGGUGGGUCAGAACCAAGGGCUGAGAGGAGAGGGAGGGUGCCAGCAGAUGCCUUGGGAGGGGCACAUGGAACUCUGGGAGAGGCUGGCUAGGAAGAAGGAAGCCGCUCCAGGGAGAGCAGAAACAUCUUCCCUGUCAUCCAUCAGAUUUGGAGCAGAGAGAGCUGGGUCACAGAACUUAACCCGAAAGGCAUGGACACAUCAAUAUCAGUUGAGGCGGCUGUUUGUUCCUGAGUAGACAAGCCAGCUGGCUGAUUGAAUUUUUCACUCAUCAUUAGGGUGCUGAACAGAAAUCUAGGAAACAAGGCCCUUCAGCCAGCAGCCUGGGUAUCCCUGAGUUUCGGUCCCCAGACAACAGUACCCCUCUAGGCCUUCCUGCCAGACCCUGAUGCCCAGCCUCCAUGGCUGGCAGUUUAGCGCACAGCUGGUAAGUUAAAAGCACUUUAGUGAUGAUUCCACCUCGCACUGAAGACUUCCAGGGACUGUUAAUGAAUUUAAAUGCUGGGGAUUUUCUCUGAUGCCUCAUUGCAUAUGCUCUUCACAUUAAGAUGCUAAUGAGGGCUCGAGCGGACAGAGGCACUGGAGCCAGACCAGGGACAGUGGCCUGGAAAGGGUUGCUGGCUGGUUAGGGCUUUUCUAAUUCCUUAUCAGUGCUGCAUCGGUGACCUCUCCAAGUGGGUUAACUGGCCCUGGCCUCCUUGGGGAUAGGGGAGGCAGUCAGCUGGGACUGAGUCGAUGCUGUGCCCGAAGCUGAGGCUAACGACAGGAGUCUUAGUGAGCAAACAGGGGAAUUGCUGUGAGAUUCUGUCUAUGGACUGGGACUCCAUCCAAGAGGCUGUGCCUUACAAACCCAGAUGGAUUGUGGGUGAAGUUCAGACCGCUAGUCUGAGUUCUUGAAGACUCUAAACUUGCAAGGAAACACUGAAUACCGCUGGAAUGGAAGAUUGUUCAUGAGGCCAGUAGUACAGAGUGACAGGGGUGCAUGGACUCUGGGCAAACUGGCUGGGGUGAUAAGCAGGCUGUCCCUGAGGACAUCGGAAGAGGUAGUUGGCCUAGAAUCCUCAUGGAGAUGGGAAAAUGGAGCUUGGCUUCUCUUCUUUUUGAUAAAGACAAGAGAGAGAGAGAGAGAGAGAGAGAGAGAGAGAGAGAGAGAGAGAGAGAGAGAGAGAGAGAGAGAGA
This is a long non-coding RNA of Peromyscus californicus insignis, 4300 nucleotides long. RefSeq lists it as uncharacterized. Lineage: Eukaryota; Metazoa; Chordata; Mammalia; Rodentia; Cricetidae. The record is from RefSeq and is a predicted model, not a curated record. The transcript is spliced from 4 exons.